UACGGGGGGGGCAAGCGUUGUUCGGAAUUACUGGGCGGAAAGGGCUCGUAGGUGGCCAACUAAGUCGGACGUGAAAUCCCUCGGCUUAACCGGGGAACUGCGUCCGAUACUGGUUGGCUUGAGUUUGGGAGAGGGAUGCGGAAUUCCAGGUGUAGCGGUGAAAUGCGUAGAUAUCUGGAGGAACACCGGUGGCGAAGGCGGAUCUCUGGGCCUUACCUGACGCUGAGGCGCGAAAGCUAGGGGAGCAAACAGG
This 253-nucleotide ribosomal RNA is filed under the name uncultured bacterium. Its description in RNAcentral is "partial 16S ribosomal RNA". It matches the Rfam family "Bacterial small subunit ribosomal RNA", at positions 524 to 776 of the family's 1533-position model. The record is from RNAcentral.